Long non-coding RNA from Thrips palmi, 169 nucleotides. RefSeq lists it as uncharacterized. The transcript is spliced from 3 exons. NCBI's taxonomy places the organism in Eukaryota, Metazoa, Arthropoda, Insecta, Thysanoptera, Thripidae. The record is from RefSeq and is a predicted model, not a curated record.
GCAGGAUGCUGGUUCCUCGUCUCGCCGCCUGGGGGCAGCGGCGGCGGCGGCGCUCCGCCUUGCUGAGAUGUCACGGGACGACAUCCUGAUCGCGUGCGAACACAAAACGGGAUGACCGCCGCCGACUAAUGACGACGUCGAUGGAGUGGCCCGGCGUCGCGCUGCUGCU